GCCAGCAUGGUAUAGUGGUUUGAGUGUUGGACUAUGACUCUGGAGACCAGGGUUCAAUUCCCUUCUCAGCCA
Non-coding RNA from Phrynosoma platyrhinos (Desert horned lizard), 72 nucleotides. The record is from the annotation of a GenBank genome assembly. NCBI's taxonomy places the organism in Eukaryota, Metazoa, Chordata, Lepidosauria, Squamata, Phrynosomatidae.